This 270-nucleotide ribosomal RNA is filed under the name uncultured archaeon. RNAcentral's name for it is "partial 16S ribosomal RNA". It matches the Rfam family "Archaeal small subunit ribosomal RNA", at positions 477 to 747 of the family's 1478-position model. The record is from RNAcentral.
CAGCACCUCAAGUGGUCAGGAUGAUUAUUGGGCCUAAAGCAUCCGUAGCCGGCGCUGUAAGUUUUCGGUUAAAUCUGUACGCUCAACGUACAGGCUGCCGGGAAUACUGCAGCGCUAGGGAGUGGGAGAGGUAGACGGUACUCGGUAGGAAGCGGUAAAAUCCUUUGAUCUAUUGAUGACCACCUGUGGCGAAGGCGGUCUACCAGAACACGUCCGACGGUGAGGGAUGAAAGCUGGGGGAGCAAACCGGAUUAGAUACCCGAGUAGUCC